Molecule: long non-coding RNA, 1395 nt
Filed under: Daucus carota (carrot)
Lineage: Eukaryota; Viridiplantae; Streptophyta; Magnoliopsida; Apiales; Apiaceae
Description: long non-coding RNA (DCAR_LNC002912)
Source: RNAcentral
UAGGAUGUUCCGUGCCUUUUCUUAAUAUAGGAGACUGUGUUGCCCGGGAGCUCAAAGAAGCUAAGUUUAGACCACUUGAAGCUGGGAGUUGUGUCCAAAUCGGGGUCCUGGCAAAUAGCUCAAGUUCAACAGCAGCCUUCUACAAGAAAAAACUACAGAGCCAGGUAUGUUUCUUAACGUAUGAAAAUCUCAAACCUUUCGACAGACAUAACACAUGACAUGUUAUUGUGUAACUAGAAAUGUUUCUCCAACUCAUACAGAGAACACGUGUUUUUUGGGACAGGGAUUUGAGGUUGUGUUACCAGACAAUCCAACAAUGGAGCACGCAGUGCUCCCAGCAAUAGAAGCAUUACAGAAGAAAGACGUCGAAGGAGCACAGAAUCUGUUAAGAAUUGCAAUCCACUUACUUUUAAUGAGCGCGGUGAACACCAUAAUCCUUGCUGCUGAUGAGCUGAGAAAUAUUUUGCCGCCUAAUGAUCCACUUCUCAAGAGAUGCGUCGACCCUAUGGAUGCUUUGGUGCGAUCAACUAUAAGCCGGGGAAGGACUUCUCAGAAAGCUGUAUAUCACAAGAAAAACUAAUGUAAAAAUCAAGAAAUCAAGAUUCACGAACGAUAAGUAGCAUUGCCUAUGUUCAGAUCACCUGCACCUCUUCCUGUGUUUCGUUGUCUGAUGACCCGAAGAAACAACACAAUUGCGCAGAUAAUGAACGUCUGUCAAUAUAGAUUAGCAUCUCUUCUUGUUUAAGAAUCCCCCUGUUAUAUAAAUGUAAUAUAUAUUGGCACAAUAACUUAUCCAGGCUAAUGAAUACUCAUUAUAACAUAUCUACCUAAAUAAAACUGAUAACUGGUGUUUAUUAAAUUGAAUGCUUGUUCUAGACAUUUUAAAAUAGUUAUUAAUAUUAGGUCUGCAUUCAAGUGAAAUUACAAGUCCAAAGCAGUGACAGUAUGUUACCUCAACUGGAGCCUAGUUAUAACAUAAGUGAUGUAGAUGUCAAUUAUUAAGUUAAACAUCCUUCAUCUAAUAUCUUUCAGUUUUUUUUGUGCCUCUUAAAAUUUUAAUGGAAGUGAUAUGUUUUGGUGUGGACUAGGUCACAAGUCCCGCUAAUCAGUGGAAACUUAUAAACAUCACAAAUCCCUAAUAGUUUUAUAUAGCAGCACUCAACUAUACAGAGAAUUACGAAGAAAUACUCAUUGUUCGUAGACACAAGAUCGAUAAGAGGGUAAAGAUACUAUGGUAAGAGGGCAAUGACGCCAUGGCACAAGGAGAAAUUACAAGAAUGGAUUCUUAAAGACUUAGGUUUAGGGUUUUACUAGUAUUUACGCCUGCCGAAAUCUUAGGCCCGCCAGUAGAUCUGUACAUUUUUUGGACCAGAGCGCGCGCGCACACACAUAUAU